ACUCUUUGCUGGGGUAGAGGAGGAGUGACGGGAGGCGGAAGUACGGGGAGAGUACCGGUGAGUCCGAGCGGAGUAGCGGUGUCUCGUGGAGUACCUGGAUGUAUCCGGGUCCUUGUGCCGUUACCUUCGAAUUGCCUAGCCACUGUGUUGACAGAGGGCCACCUGAAAUCGCUAAAUAUUCUAUUACCUGAAAGGUAAGCGUGUAGUUCUCCACAAGAUGUCCGUGAUACCUUUCUCCAAUAUAAGCCACUUUAGCGCGGAUAAAUGACUGAUUCCGCGUUAGGUGCUUCGGACAUCUACCAAGAUCAGUUAACCUCGGGCCCACACCCCAAAACAAACCAGUUCCUCCUGUGAAUCUCCCUACUGAAAUUUCCUGUUGUGGUACCACCCGAAAAGGGAGGGUCUAGUAAAUUUGUCUGUCAGCUCUAGCAUCACCUGAAAAUAAACCUCCAUGAAAAAGC
This is a long non-coding RNA of Neogale vison (American mink), 461 nucleotides long. RefSeq lists it as uncharacterized. Lineage: Eukaryota; Metazoa; Chordata; Mammalia; Carnivora; Mustelidae. The record is from RefSeq and is a predicted model, not a curated record. The transcript is spliced from 2 exons.